UUUUUUUCUUGGUGAAUAAUCAUAGCAUAAUGUGGUUUAGAAGAGCAACAGUGCACUACUUCAGCUCUACACAUGGAACUUACGUUUAAGUGUAGCUUGGAUCUAGGGAUACAAUAAGAAAAGUCUGUAAAAAUAGGACACAAUGGUUUUACAUGUAUUUUGAAUUAUGCAUCGGAUUGUGCUGUGUUUUAGGAUUGAAGGAAAUGUAUGUAAACUUAACAUCUACUGUCCUGGCAGAAAAUUGCCUGUACCUAAUCCGUUUUUCUACUAUUUUUGUUUGUCUUACAGUGUACAUGUUAAAGCACAACCAAACCAGA
This is a long non-coding RNA of Rhinichthys klamathensis goyatoka, 317 nucleotides long. RefSeq lists it as uncharacterized. The record is from RefSeq and is a predicted model, not a curated record. The transcript has 2 exons. Lineage: Eukaryota; Metazoa; Chordata; Actinopteri; Cypriniformes; Leuciscidae.